Molecule: non-coding RNA, 109 nt
Organism: Diatrype stigma
Lineage: Eukaryota; Fungi; Ascomycota; Sordariomycetes; Xylariales; Diatrypaceae
Source: the annotation of a GenBank genome assembly
GCCCGUAUAACUCAGUGGUAGAGUGCUACACUUGUAUAUGUAAACUCGCACCGACGAGAAUUUACUGCAGUCGAUGUAGUGGCCAGUCGUUCGAAUCGGCUUAUGGGCA